GAGUCUAGCAGUUAUGAGCUCAACUUGUCAGGUGGACAGAGCUGGCUGUAUUGCAUAAAGCUGUAGGAUUCUGAAGCAAGUUAAAUCUAUUGAAUGCUCAUUUCUCACCUGUGAAGUGGGCUUACUUGUAUCUUCCUCACACAUGUAUGAAGACUGUGGUAUACUGCAGUCAUUUUUAGCUUUCAUGACCUUUAUUGCAGAAGAGAAGACCACAGGUCAGCGGCAUGGAUUAGAGAAAUCCCACUCCAAGCUGCAAAGAUAACUACUAUUGUCAAUCUGGUCUCAGGAUAAAGUGUUUCCAAGUGGUACAGGUCUCAAGCUGGGCUUCUUCUGAGUUCCAUGGAUUAAGCCUAACUGACGGGCAGAGAAUAAGUAGGAAAACAGGCCCUAACCCAACAGACACAAAUCGAGUUUUUCCAGCCCAGCUCUCAAGUGCCAGCCUAGACCAUUUAUAUUCUUUCUGGUCAGCGCUAUGGUUGCUAAAGUCUCUUACAUCUAGAUGUGCAACAUAAAAGAA
This is a long non-coding RNA of Lutra lutra (Eurasian river otter), 517 nucleotides long. RefSeq lists it as uncharacterized. NCBI's taxonomy places the organism in Eukaryota, Metazoa, Chordata, Mammalia, Carnivora, Mustelidae. The transcript has 3 exons. The record is from RefSeq and is a predicted model, not a curated record.